AUACGUAGGUGGCAAGCGUUGUCCGGAAUUACUGGGUGUAAAGGGUGCGCAGGCGGGACUGCAAGUUGGAUGUGAAAUACCGAGGCUUAACCUCGGAGCUGCAUCCAAAACUGUGGUUCUUGAGUGGAGUAGAGGUAAGCGGAAUUCCGAGUGUAGCGGUGAAAUGCGUAGAUAUUCGGAGGAACACCAGUGGCGAAGGCGGCUUACUGGGCUCUAACUGACGCUGAGGCACGAAAGUGUGGGUAGC
RNAcentral lists this ribosomal RNA (247 nucleotides) under uncultured bacterium. RNAcentral's name for it is "partial 16S ribosomal RNA". It matches the Rfam family "Bacterial small subunit ribosomal RNA", at positions 523 to 769 of the family's 1533-position model. The record is from RNAcentral.